CCUACGGGAGGCAGCAGUGAGGAAUAUUGGUCAAUGGACGAGAGUCUGAACCAGCCAAGUAGCGUGAAGGAUGACUGCCCUAUGGGUUGUAAACUUCUUUUAUAUGGGAAUAAAAUGUUCCACGUGUGGGAUUUUGUAUGUACCAUAUGAAUAAGGAUCGGCUAACUCCGUGCCAGCAGCCGCGGUAAUACGGAGGAUCCGAGCGUUAUCCGGCUUUAUUGGGUGUAAAGGGAGCGUAGGUGGAUUGUUAAGUCAGUUGUGAAAGGUUGCGGCUCAACCGUAAAAUUGCAGUUGAAACUGGCAGUCUUGAGUACAGUAGAGGUGGGCGGAAUUCGUGGUGUAGCGGUGAAAUGCUUAGAUAUCACGAAGAACUCCGAUUGCGAAGGCAGCUCACUGGACUGCAACUGACACUGAGGCUCGAAAGUGUGGGUAUCAAACAGGAUUAGAUACCCGAGUAGUC
This 460-nucleotide ribosomal RNA is filed under the name uncultured bacterium. RNAcentral describes it as "partial 16S ribosomal RNA". It matches the Rfam family "Bacterial small subunit ribosomal RNA", at positions 338 to 795 of the family's 1533-position model. The record is from RNAcentral.